This is a ribosomal RNA of Pteropus vampyrus (large flying fox), 131 nucleotides long. Lineage: Eukaryota; Metazoa; Chordata; Mammalia; Chiroptera; Pteropodidae. The record is from Ensembl.
GUCUAUGGCCAUGCUACCCUGAACAAGCCCAAUCUCGUCUGAUCUCAGAAGCUAAGCAGGGUUGGGCCUGGUUAUACUUGGAUGGGAGACCACCUAGAGAGACCACCUAGGAAGACCAGGUCCUGGAGGCC